UGGGGAAUAUUGCACAAUGGGCGCAAGCCUGAUGCAGCCAUGCCGCGUGUGUGAAGAAGGCCUUCGGGUUGUAAAGCACUUUCAGCGAGGAGGAAGGUGGUGAGCUUAAUACGCUCAUCAAUUGACGUUACUCGCAGAAGAAGCACCGGCUAACUCCGUGCCAGCAGCCGCGGUAAUACGGAGGGUGCAAGCGUUAAUCGGAAUUACUGGGCGUAAAGCGCACGCAGGCGGUUUGUUAAGUCAGAUGUGAAAUCCCCGGGCUCAACCUGGGAACUGCAUUUGAAACUGGCAAGCUAGAGUCUCGUAGAGGGGGGCUAGAAUUCCAGGUGUAGCGGUGAAAUGCGUAGAGAUCUGGAGGAAUACCGGUGGCGAAGGCGGCCCCCUGGACGAAGACUGACGCUCAGGUGCGAAAGCGUGGGGCAGCAAACAGGAUUAGAUACCCUGGUAGUCCACGCUGUAAAACGAU
This 466-nucleotide ribosomal RNA is filed under the name uncultured bacterium. RNAcentral describes it as "partial 16S ribosomal RNA". It matches the Rfam family "Bacterial small subunit ribosomal RNA", at positions 355 to 810 of the family's 1533-position model. The record is from RNAcentral.